CCUACUGGCGGCAGCAGUGAGGAAUAUUGGUCAAUGGACGAAAGUCUGAACCAGCCAAGCCGCGUGAAUGAUGACUGCCCUAUGAUUUGUAAACUUCUUUUAUAAAGGAAUACACCUAGGCCCGUGUGCCUCUUUGCAUGUACUUUAUGAAUAAGGAUCGGCUAACUCCGUUCCAGCAGCCGCGGUAAUACGGAGGAUCCGAGCGUUAUCAGGAUUUAUUGGUUUUAAAGGGAGCGUAGAUGGUUUGUUAAUUCAGUUGUGAAAGGUCGCGGCUCAACCCGAAAAUUGCAAUUGAUACUGGCAGUCUUGAGUACAGUUGAGGUAGGCGGAAUUUGUGGUGGAGCGGUGAAAUGCGUAGAUAUCAGGAAGAACACCGAUUGCGAAGGCAGCUUACUAACAUAUAACUGACGUUGAGGAUCGAAAGUGUGGGUAGCAAACAGGAGUAGAUACCCGAGUAGUC
This 460-nucleotide ribosomal RNA is filed under the name uncultured bacterium. RNAcentral's name for it is "partial 16S ribosomal RNA". It matches the Rfam family "Bacterial small subunit ribosomal RNA", at positions 338 to 795 of the family's 1533-position model. The record is from RNAcentral.